This is a long non-coding RNA of Suricata suricatta (meerkat), 330 nucleotides long. RefSeq lists it as uncharacterized. NCBI's taxonomy places the organism in Eukaryota, Metazoa, Chordata, Mammalia, Carnivora, Herpestidae. The record is from RefSeq and is a predicted model, not a curated record. The transcript has 4 exons.
AAUUCUGAAACCUCAGGUCAGUUUCAGGGUGACCGGACUUCUCGGUGGUGACUAACAGCUCAGACCCCAGUGCCCACAACACUACCAGUUGUAUCAGAGGGAUCAACAUCCCAGGAGCCCAAGGAUGAAUGAGUGAAUGACAGCAGAAAGGGAGCCAAGAAAGAAGUCAGCCUAUGAACUAUGGGAACACAAGUCAGGAGUGGCCACCACUCUGUUCUCUUAACAAAAGGCAGGACACUUCACACCCAAGUAACCAGUGCACUUUGAGAAACAUAAAGCCUUUCAUGUUCGAAGAAAAAUAAACCAAUUUUUAUACUCGAGAAUACAAUA